This 116-nucleotide ribosomal RNA is filed under the name Pteropus alecto (black flying fox). RNAcentral also lists the same sequence under 1 other name. The record is from RNAcentral. Lineage: Eukaryota; Metazoa; Chordata; Mammalia; Chiroptera; Pteropodidae.
GUCUACAGCCAUGCCACCCUGAACAAGCCCAGUGUCUGAUCUCGGAAGCUAAGUAGAGUCGGGCCUGGUUAGUACUUGGAUGGGAGACCACCUAGGAAGAGCAGGCGCUGUAGGCA